Molecule: ribosomal RNA, 838 nt
Filed under: Panorpodes paradoxus
Lineage: Eukaryota; Metazoa; Arthropoda; Insecta; Mecoptera; Panorpodidae
Description: partial 16S rRNA
Source: RNAcentral
GAAGGUGUAUCUAGAAAGACAAAUUAGAGCUUGAAAAGUAAAGCAUUUCAUUUACAUUGAAAAGUAUAUUGUGUAAUUCAAUUUAAUUUGAUAAUAAAAAUUUAUUAAUUUUUUUUUUGUUUAAAAAUUUAUUUAAUAAAAUUAAUUUUAAAUUAAGGUUUUUUUGUAUAAUAUAUAGAUUAAAUAAUUUAUAUAAUAGUUAAUUAGUAUUGUAAAAGAAUAUUGAAAUAUAUGAAAAAGUUUUAAAUUAAAAGUAAAUUUUAUAUAUUGUACCUUGUGUAUCAGGGUUUAUUAAUUAAAAGUUAAAAAUUUAAUUUUUCUCGAAUUUAAGAGAGUUAAUUUAUUAUUUAAUUUUUUGUUUCAUAAAAAUUUAAAAUAAUAAAUUAGAAAUGAAAUGUUAUUCGUUCUUAAAUAUAUCUAGUUUUUUAAGAAAUAAAUUAAAUUUAGAUUAUUAAUAAAUAAUUAUUUAUUUAAAUAAUAAGUUAUUAUUAAUAAUUAAUAUUUUAAGGGAUAAGCUUUAAAAUAAGUUUUAUAAUAAUUUUUUAAUUUAAAAAUUAUAGGUUUAGAAAUAGCCAUUAAUUAUAAAAAUGUUAUAAUUUAUUUUAAAUUAAAAAUAAUUUUUAUUAAUUUAAGUUUUUAUUAAAAUAAUUUUUAAAAUUAUAUAAGAGUUAAAAUAAUGAUAAAAUUAGUAUAUUUAAUUGUUUAAAGUAAAUAAGUUGAAAGGUUAAAUUAAGGAACUUGGCAAAUAAAGACUCGCCUGUUUAACAAAAACAUGUCUUUUUGAAUAUAAUUUAAAGUCUAAUCUGCCCACUGAAAAAUUUUGAAGGGCCGCGGUAUU